UGGUGUCUUUAAUCGGGUUUUCCAAAGC
RNAcentral lists this non-coding RNA (28 nucleotides) under Rattus norvegicus (Norway rat). The record is from RNAcentral. Lineage: Eukaryota; Metazoa; Chordata; Mammalia; Rodentia; Muridae.